UACGAGGGUGCAAGCGUUUGUCCGGAAUUAUUGGGCGUAAAGAGCUCGUAGGCGGUUUGUCGCGUCGGCUGUGAAAACUCGGGGGCUCAACCCCCGAGCCUGCAGUCGAUACGGGGCAAACUUGAGUGCGGUAGGGGGAGACUGGAAUUCCUGGUGUAGCGGUGAAAUGCGCAGAUAUCGGGAAGAACACCCGUGGCGAAGGCGGCUCUCUGGGACGGUACUGACGCUGAGACGCGAAAGCGUGGGGGAGCGAACAGG
RNAcentral lists this ribosomal RNA (258 nucleotides) under uncultured bacterium. RNAcentral describes it as "partial 16S ribosomal RNA". It matches the Rfam family "Bacterial small subunit ribosomal RNA", at positions 524 to 776 of the family's 1533-position model. The record is from RNAcentral.